RNAcentral lists this ribosomal RNA (903 nucleotides) under uncultured organism. RNAcentral describes it as "bacterial SSU rRNA". It matches the Rfam family "Bacterial small subunit ribosomal RNA", at positions 18 to 946 of the family's 1533-position model. The record is from RNAcentral.
UCUGGCUCAGGAUGACGCUAGCGGCGCGCUUAUGCAUGCAAGUCGAGCGAUGAGGCCUCUUCGGGGGGUACAUCAGCGGCAGACGGGUGAGUAACACGUAGGUGAUCUACCCCAGAGACGGGGAUAACGGGUGGAAACAUCCGCUAAUACCGGAUAGGCUUGUUCGGUCAAAGGGACAAGGAAAGGCUCCGGCGCUCUGGGAGGAGCCUGCGGCCCAUCAGCUAGUUGGCGGGGUAACGGCCCACCAAGGCAAAGACGGGUAGGGGGUGUGAGAGCAUGGCCCCCCACAAUGGGACUGGAACACGGCCCAUACUCCUACGGGAGGCAGCAGCAGGGAAUAUUGCACAAUGGACGGAAGUCUGAUGCAGCGACGCCGCGUGGAUGAAGAAGGCCCUCGGGUUGUAAAAUCCUUUACAGGGGGAAGAGGAAGGACGGUACCCCUGGAACAAGUGUCGGCUAACUACGUGCCAGCAGCCGCGGUAAGACGUAGGACACAAGCGUUAUCCGGAUUUACUGGGCGUAAAGCGUCUGCAGGCGGACAGGUAAGUUGGGCGUGAAAGCUCCGGGCCCAACCCGGAGAGGUCGUUCAAUACUGCGUGUCUAGAGGGUGUCAGAGGGGAGUGGAAUUUCCGGAGUAGCGGUAAAAUGCGCAGAGAUCGGAAAGAACACCAAUGGCGAAGGCAGCUCCCUGGGGCAACCCUGACGCUAAGAGACGAAAGCUAGGGGAGCGAACAGGAUUAGAGACCCUGGUAGUCCUAGCCCUAAACGAUGGAUGCUGGAUGUGGGGCCAUAGCGCUCCGUGUCGAAGCGAACGCGUUAAGCAUCCCGNCUGGGGACUACGGCCGCAAGGUUAAAACUCAAACGAAUUGACGGGACCCCGCACAAGCAGCGGAGCGUGUGGUU